Molecule: ribosomal RNA, 465 nt
Filed under: uncultured bacterium
Lineage: Bacteria
Description: partial 16S ribosomal RNA
Rfam family: Bacterial small subunit ribosomal RNA
Source: RNAcentral
GAUGAACGCUGGCGGCGUGCUUAACACAUGCAAGUCGAACGGAAAGGCUCCUGCUUGCAGGGGUACUCGAGUGGCGAACGGGUGAGUAACACGUGGGUGAUCUGCCCUGCACUUCGGGAUAAGCCUGGGAAACUGGGUCUAAUACCGGAUAGGACGAUGGUUUGGAUGCCAUUGUGGAAAGUUUUUCGGUGUGGGAUGAGCUCGCGGCCUAUCAGCUUGUUGGUGGGGUAAUGGCCUACCAAGGCGUCGACGGGUAGCCGGCCUGAGAGGGUGUACGGCCACAUUGGGACUGGGGUACGGCCCAGACUCCUACGGGAGGCAGCAGUGGGGAAUAUUGCACAAUGGGCGCAAGCCUGAUGCAGCGACGCCGCGUGGGGGAUGACGGCCUUCGGGUUGUAAACUCCUUUCGCUAGGGACGAAGCGCAAGUGACGGUACCUGGAGAAGAAGCACCGGCUAACUACGUG